Molecule: ribosomal RNA, 214 nt
Filed under: uncultured Trichosporon
Lineage: Eukaryota; Fungi; Basidiomycota; Tremellomycetes
Description: partial 26S ribosomal RNA
Rfam family: Eukaryotic large subunit ribosomal RNA
Source: RNAcentral
AAUGGAUUCGCUAGUAUGGCGAGUGACCGGGAAAGCUCAAAUUUGAAAUCUGGCUGUCUUCGAUAGUCCGAGUUGUAAUCUAUAGAAGCGUUUUCCGUGCUGAACUGUGUCUAAGUCCCUUGGAACAGGGUAUCAAAGAGGGUGAUAAUCCCGUACUUGACACAACAAUCAGUGCUCUGUGAUACGUUCUCUACGAGUCGAGUGUUUGGGAAUU